GGGAAGCAGCAGUAGGGAAUCUUCCACAAUGGGCGAAAGCCUGAUGGAGUGAUGCCAUGUGAAUGAUGAAGGUCUUUUUGAUUGUAAAGUUCUUUUAUUGGGGAAAAUGAUGAUGGUACCCAGUGAAUAAGUGACAGCAAACUAUGUGCCAGCAGCUGCGGUAAUACAUAGGUCGCGAGCGUUAUUCGGAUUUAUUGGGCGUAAAGCGAGCGCAGGCGGAUUGGUAAGUUCUGUGUUAAAUGCAGCCGCUCAACGGUUGUAUGCGCAGAAUACUGCUUUUCUAGAAUACGGUAGAAAGUUUUGGAAUUGAAUGUGGAGCGGUGGAAUGUGUAGAUAUAUUCAAGAACACCAGAGGCGAAGGCGAAAACUUAGGCCGAUAUUGACGCUUAGGCUCGAAAGUGUGGGGAGCAAAUGGGAUUAGAUACCCCAGUAGUCCACACCGUAAACGAUGGAUAUUAGAUGUUGGGACUUGAGUCUCAGCGUUGUAGCUUACGUGUUAAAUAUCCCGCCUGAGUAGUACAUAUGCAAAUAUGAAACUCAAAGGAAUUGACGGGGACCUGAACAAGUGGUGGAACAUGUUGCUUAAUUCGACAAUACACGAAAAACCUUACCAAGAUUUGACAUCCCCUGCAAAGCUUUAGAAAUAAAGUGGAGGUUAUCAGGGUGACAGGUGGUGCAUGGCUGUCGUCAGCUCGUGUCAUGAGAUGUCUGGUUAAGUCCUGAAACGAGCGCAACCCUACUCUUUAGUUAACUUUCUAAAGAGACUGAACAGUAAUGUAUAGGAAGGAUGGGAUCACGUCAAGUCAUCAUGCCCCUUAUAUCUUGGGCCGCAAACGUGUUACAAUGGUGGGUACAACGUGUCGCAAGCCAGCGAUGGCAAGCUAAUCACUAAAAGCUCAUCUCAGUCCGGAUAAAAGGCUGCAAUUCGCCUUUUUGAAGUUGGAAUCACUAGUAAUCCCGUGUCAGCUAUAUCGGGGUGAAUACGUUCCCAGGUCUUGUACACACCGCCCGUCAAACUAUGAGAGGGAGAGGCAUUCGAAAACGUAUUCAUUUGCGUCUAGAAUGAAUUUCCUGAUUGGAGUUAAG
RNAcentral lists this ribosomal RNA (1086 nucleotides) under Haemobartonella muris. Its description in RNAcentral is "bacterial SSU rRNA". It matches the Rfam family "Bacterial small subunit ribosomal RNA", at positions 343 to 1485 of the family's 1533-position model. Lineage: Bacteria; Bacillati; Mycoplasmatota; Mollicutes; Mycoplasmatales; Mycoplasmataceae. The record is from RNAcentral.